UACGUAGGGUGCAAGCGUUAAUCGGAAUUACUGGGCGUAAAGCGUGCGCAGGCGGUGAUGUAAGACAGGUGUGAAAUCCCCGGGCUUAACCUGGGAACUGCAUUUGUGACUGCAUCGCUGGAGUGCGGCAGAGGGGGAUGGAAUUCCGCGUGUAGCAGUGAAAUGCGUAGAGAUCGGCAGGAACACCCAGGGGGAAACCAGUCGACUGGGCAUCUACUGACGCUGAGGUGCGAGAGCGUGGGGAGCGAACCGG
Molecule: ribosomal RNA, 253 nt
Filed under: uncultured bacterium
Lineage: Bacteria
Description: partial 16S ribosomal RNA
Rfam family: Bacterial small subunit ribosomal RNA
Source: RNAcentral